Molecule: long non-coding RNA, 358 nt
Organism: Amphimedon queenslandica
Lineage: Eukaryota; Metazoa; Porifera; Demospongiae; Haplosclerida; Niphatidae
Exons: 2
Source: RefSeq, a predicted model, not a curated record
AUAUCUCUUUGGAGCUAAGGAUGAAAAUGAAGUCAUACAAAUGGACGCAGUGAAAGAUGGUGAAAAGAAAGAGCCUGAGAAACCAGAAAAGAAGAAACCUCUUGAGAGUGCGCUGGUUCGUACCAGUUGGGUAACAGUUGCUGUCCAUUUGACUGCUAUUGCUAUUGCAGUAGUGGUCAUGAUUAUACUGAUUGCAAUUAAUUAAAAAAAAGACUUUUCAGACAUAGUUUAUUGUUGUUUUAGCUUUAGGAACAUUAUUGUUUUGUUGCUUUAUUUUGCAUUGUCAGCUCAAGUUGUGUAAGACUUACUAUAUAAGUAUAAUAUCAUUUUUAAAACAGUUGUUAUUAAUGAGACUAUA